CAGUCGCCGCGGGAAUACGGAGGGGGCUAGCGUUGUUCGGAAUUACUGGGCGUAAAGCGCACGUAGGCGGCUUGGUAAGUUAGAGGUGAAAGCCCGGAGCUCAACUCCGGAAUUGCCUUUAAGACUGCCGAGCUAGCACGUGAGAGAGGUAAGUGGAAUUCCGAGUGUAGAGGUGAAAUUCGUAGAUAUUCGGAAGAACACCAGUGGCGAAGGCGGCUUACUGGCUCAUACUGGACGCUGAGGUGCAAAAGCGUGGGGAGCAAACAGGAUUAGAUACCCCCGUAGUCCCUGUCUCUUAUAC
Molecule: ribosomal RNA, 301 nt
Filed under: uncultured bacterium
Lineage: Bacteria
Description: partial 16S ribosomal RNA
Rfam family: Bacterial small subunit ribosomal RNA
Source: RNAcentral